CCUACGGGAGGCAGCAGUGGGGAAUUUUGCACAAUGGGCGGAAGCCUGAUGCAGCGACGCCGCGUGGAGGAUGAAGGCCUUCGGGUUGUAAACUCCUUUUGUAGGGGACAAUGAUGAUGGUACCCUGCGAAUAAGCCACGGCUAACUCUGUGCCAGCAGCCGCGGUAAGACAGAGGUGGCGAGCGUUGUUCGGAAUCACUGGGCUUAAAGGGCGCGUAGGUGGUAGUGCAAGUCUGGGGUGGAAUCCUAUGGCUUAACCAUAGAAUUGCCUUGGAAACUGUAUUACUUGAGUCAGUGAGGGGAGGGUAGAAUUCCUGGUGUAGCGGUGAAAUGCGUAGAUAUCAGGAGGAAGGCCUGUGGCGAAGGCGGCCCUCUGGCGCUGAACUGACACUGAGGCGCGAAAGCGUGGGGAGCAAACAGGAUUAGAUACCCUGGUAGUCCACGCCCUAAACGGUGGGCACUAGGUGUAGGGCUCGUAAGGGUUCUGUGCCGAAGCGAAAGCAUUAAGUGCCCCGCCUGGGGAGUACGGCCGCAAGGUUGAAACUUAAAGGAAUUGACGG
This 560-nucleotide ribosomal RNA is filed under the name uncultured bacterium. Its description in RNAcentral is "bacterial SSU rRNA". It matches the Rfam family "Bacterial small subunit ribosomal RNA", at positions 338 to 916 of the family's 1533-position model. The record is from RNAcentral.